CGGUGGUCCCACCUGACCCCAUGCCGAACUCAGAAGUGAAACGCCGUAGCGCCGAUGGUAGUGUGGGGACACCCCAUGUGAGAGUAGGACACCGCCAGAC
Molecule: ribosomal RNA, 100 nt
Filed under: Candidatus Schmidhempelia bombi str. Bimp
Lineage: Bacteria; Pseudomonadati; Pseudomonadota; Gammaproteobacteria; Orbales; Orbaceae
Source: RNAcentral